Lepisosteus oculatus (spotted gar) is the source of this 1776-nucleotide long non-coding RNA. Lineage: Eukaryota; Metazoa; Chordata; Actinopteri; Semionotiformes; Lepisosteidae. The record is from Ensembl.
UACGUAAAACCAUCCUCGUGAAACAAGACACUUCUCCUUCCCCUUCCUUUUUAGCCAAUCAUACCUAGGUAGGUGGCCUCCUCUCCCUUCCCAGACAUUAUACAGAUGUGUGCAAGAGAACCCGUCACAUACGUAUCUGGAGGCAAACUCAGUAAUGUUUGGUUAGUGUUUACAGCUGCCCUCCAACUUUGCAGUCUCCCCCAUUGACCCACGCAAUGGUAGGAUCUGGAAAGAUUUGUAUGUAUGACUUCACAAAUGUUUCCAUUUUUGUUUACUUUAUAAAAGGGCAUUUAGAAGAAAGAGAAUUAACAAUACAUUUUAAAAUACUAAAAUAUCCACAAGGCCAAAUAUGCUCAGACAGUGGACUAGAACUAUAAAAGCCUCCUUCAGCCAAAUGAUGUUGAGUAUUAUAUUACACAGAUGUGAGAAUGUGUGUAACCUGUUAUCUGAAGGGUGAUGGAAGGCAAAAGUGCUGUGAAAAUAGGAACAAAGCAACAGCUGUCAGGCAGAAUGCUACUUUGGUGGAUGCUGUAUAUGUUUCUAGUAGUAACGCAGGUACCAUGCAGUGUCUCACAAAGUGGACAAGGUGAUGGAGAAGAUGGUUCAAGUGAUCCCUUCAUCACUCUGAAUAGCAGUCUCACUGAAGAGAUGGUAAACGACCAACGGAGGGCUCUGGAGUACAAACCAGAUCCAGACGGCUGCUCUAUCAACUUCAAAACGGCCCACAGAGGCCCCUGUGGAGCCUCGGGGCAACAGGUCAGGGACUGGGAGGAUGAACUUACCUACCUGAAGGAGAUUCUCCAUGGCAACCAAGCCAUUGUAGACAGCCUUACCCAGACCAUUAGCUCAGAGAUUGGGGAGCUGAAGUACCAGGAGGUCAUCGAAGAAAGCAUCAUUAGUAUUAAGGAAGAUAACCUGAACUGUGACAAGGUUGUGAAGAAAGUCCUGUUAGAGUUGGAAACACAGUUGGAAGGAGACGAGGCAAGAUCGUUGGAAGGGGUUCAGAAAGUUAAAGAGGAUUACCUGAUCAUUGAAGAAAUGCUACAUGCAGCAGAAACAACUGCCAAGAAGUUGGAGAGUACAAUUCAACCUCUGUAUUCUUCCCUGACAAAGCAAUCUUUAAAGGGUCUCUCUGGCCGCAAUUAACACUUCUUAAUUUUAUACAGUAUACUGUAUGUCCCAGACCAAACAAAUAAUUCUGUAGAAUCCAAGUUUGUUCUUUAUCAACCAGAUAACAUUUUACAAUUCCAAACUGUUGAUCAAAACAAAUUAAAUGCAAUUUUGAUGGAGUGCCUGGUUUUAGGUAAAGUUUUUUGCAUGCAUUUAAAUGGACUGUAGCUCCAUAAAUUCCGAAACAUGCGUCCUUUUCCUAAAUAAAUAGAGCCUAUAAAAUGUGUUUGUUUUUUCCAUAUCAAAUUCAUAAAGCACACUUUAACUUAAUUUAAUGGUGGAGCAGUGGUUGGACUUGCUGUCUUGGAGAGCUGUGACUUGGGUUCAAUUCUGGAACUGGGGUGCUUUCUGUGUGGUUUCCCUGGUUACUCCGGCUUCCUCCCACAGUCCAAAGACCUACUGGUAGGUCUUCAAUUGGCUUCUGGGAAAAUUGGCCCUGGUGUGAGUUUAUGGACAGGCAUGUCAUCCAGGGUAUAUCGUGCUUUGUGCCUGUUGCUUGCUGAGAUAUGCUCCAGCUCCCCCGCCAUCCUGUACUGAACAAAACCGUUAGAAAAUGGAUGGAUGAAUGUACUGUAUCUUGUCUUUUCAAGAACAACAGCUCCUCCC